CCAUUUAAUCCAUCCACAAUUCCAGUUUUCAGCUCAGUUACUGUCCCAGGAUUCAAAGAUCACGGAGGACUUCUUCCUCCACCUGUGAAUAUUCCUCCAAUGCUUACUGUCAAUCCUGUUCGUAGAUCACCUCAUCAGUCAGCUACAGCUCGGGUUCCAUAUGGUCCAAGGUUGUCUGGUGGCUAUAACAAAUCUGGAAAUCGGGUUCCACGUAACAAGCCGAGCUUCCAUAACGGUGAGCAUACAGGGGAUGGGAAUCAUUUCAGCCCUCCUAGAAUCAUGAACCCACAUGCAGCUGAAUUUGUGCCUUGCCAACCUUGGGUUCCCAAUGGCUAUCCAUUGCAACACAAUGGCUAUAUGGCCACCACAAAUGGUAUGCCAGUAUCUCCAAAUGGCUAUCCCAUUUCCCCAACCAGCAUUCCUGUGUCACC
RNAcentral lists this long non-coding RNA (431 nucleotides) under Populus tremula. Its description in RNAcentral is "long non-coding RNA (PTRE_LNC001495)". The record is from RNAcentral. Lineage: Eukaryota; Viridiplantae; Streptophyta; Magnoliopsida; Malpighiales; Salicaceae.